This 540-nucleotide unclassified non-coding RNA is filed under the name Hevea brasiliensis (rubber tree). Lineage: Eukaryota; Viridiplantae; Streptophyta; Magnoliopsida; Malpighiales; Euphorbiaceae. The record is from RNAcentral.
GGUUUCAAUUACAUUUGAAUUUUUGUUUAGAUUCAAGUAAAAGCAGAGAUCUAUGGCAAUGUGCCAUAGAAGAAUGCUCUGAUCAAAUUCUGUUUCGACACUCCAGCCAAUCUUGUCAAAACAACCCAUUUCUCUGAGUACCUGAUCACCCCUUUGAGCACAUAAUUGCCUAGAAAUGCUUAUGUCCAGUUCAUUCCUAGACUUCACCAAAAGUUGCUCAAACACCAGCUUUUUUAAAUCGGGGCUGACAGCAUCCAAGACUUUGAAGUGCCGCUUCUCUGGCAUCUCAUAAAUGCAUAAGAACCUGAAGAUUCCACUGAACAUGAUUGGCUUAUCAUCGAGGCAAAUUCUUAUUAGAUUGAAUUUUGCAAUGCAAUUAGACCAUCUCUUGUUCACAGAUGGCGUAAUAUAAAAAGGUUGCAACCAUGACUGGAUAUAGCAGAUGGUCUUGUAGAUGAGAUCCACCAACAUAUUUUUGUGCUUGCUUAGCCAAAGUAAUGUCAAAUCUGAGGAAAGUAGAACAAUCAUCUCAUAUACUUG